Molecule: ribosomal RNA, 883 nt
Filed under: uncultured bacterium
Lineage: Bacteria
Description: bacterial SSU rRNA
Rfam family: Bacterial small subunit ribosomal RNA
Source: RNAcentral
GAACGAACGCUGGCGGCGUGCCUAACACAUGCAAGUCGAACGUGAUUGGGGAGCUUGCUCCUCAUGAAAGUGGCGCACGGGUGAGUAACGCGUAGAUAAUCUACCUGAUGAUUUGGGAUAACACUUCGAAAGGGGUGCUAAUACCGAAUAAGCCCACGGAGUCCUUGGACACUGCGGGAAAAGGAGGGGACCUUCGGGCCUUCCGUCAUCAGAUGAGUCUGCGUACCAUUAGCUAGUUGGUAGGGUAAAGGCCUACCAAGGCGACGAUGGUUAGCUGGUCUGAGAGGAUGAUCAGCCACACUGGAACUGAGACACGGUCCAGACUCCUACGGGAGGCAGCAGUGGGGAAUUUUGCGCAAUGGGGGAAACCCUGACGCAGCAACGCCGCGUGAGUGAUGAAGGCCCUUGGGUCGUAAAGCUCUGACAGAGGGAAAGAAAUGUGGGUGGCUAAUAUCCAUUCCACUUGACGGUACCCUCAAAGGAAGCACCGGCUAACUCCGUGCCAGCAGCCGCGGUAAUACGGAGGGUGCGAGCGUUGUUCGGAUUUAUUGGGCGUAAAGCGCGUGUAGGCGGUUUUAUAAGUCUGAUGUGAAAGCCCUGGGCUCAACCUGGGAAGUGCAUUGGAUACUGUAAGACUUGAAUACGGGAAAGGGUAGUGGAAUUCCUGGUGUAGGAGUGAAAUCCGUAGAUAUCAGGAGGAACACCGGUGGCGAAGGCGGCUGCCUGGACCGAUAUUGACGCUGAGACGCGAAAGCGUGGGUAGCAAACAGGAUUAGAUACCCUGGUAGUCCACGCCGUAAACGAUGAGUACUAGGUGUUGCGGGUAUUGACCCCUGCAGUGCCGCAGCUAACGCAUUAAGUACUCCGCCUGGGAAGUACGGUC